UACGUAGGUCCCGAGCGUUGUCCGGAUUUAUUGGGCGUAAAGCGAGCGCAGGUGGUUUAUUAAGUCUGGUGUAAAAGGCAGUGGCUCAACCAUUGUAUGCAUUUGAAACUGGUAGACUUGAGUGCAGGAGAGGAGAGUGGAAUUCCAUGUGUAGCGGUGAAAUGCGUAGAUAUAUGGAGGAACACCGGUGGCGAAAGCGGCUCUCUGGCCUGUAACUGACACUGAGGCUCGAAAGCGUGGGGAGCAAACAGG
RNAcentral lists this ribosomal RNA (252 nucleotides) under uncultured bacterium. RNAcentral's name for it is "partial 16S ribosomal RNA". It matches the Rfam family "Bacterial small subunit ribosomal RNA", at positions 524 to 776 of the family's 1533-position model. The record is from RNAcentral.